Molecule: long non-coding RNA, 434 nt
Filed under: Pan troglodytes (chimpanzee)
Lineage: Eukaryota; Metazoa; Chordata; Mammalia; Primates; Hominidae
Description: long non-coding RNA NONPTRT005619
Source: RNAcentral
AAGGAACUGAGCCCUCACAACAAGAGCAGCAUUCUUUUGGUGGAGAUGGCGUUCUCCCAGACCUCUUAAUUCCUCUCUCAGACCUUGGACUACCUGUCGCCCAUCCCUUUCUGGCCUACAUUUCCCAGCACCAGCUCUCCAGCACAGCACUUUGGACCUCGGCUGCCCUCACCAGACCCAACUCUCUUCUGCAGCCUGCUGACCUCGUGGCCCCCUAGGUUCAGUCAUCUGACCCAGCUCCACCCUCGGCACCAACGAAUCUUGCAGCAGCAGCAGCAUAGUCAAACACCAAGUCCCCCAGCCAAGAAGCCUUGGUCUCAGCAGCCAGACCCCUAUGCUAACCUCAUGACCAGAAAAGAGAAGGACUGGGUGAUAAAAGUGCAGAUGGUGCAGCUGCAGAGUGCAAAACCCCGCCUGGAUGACUACUAUUACCA